UACGUAGGGUGCGAGCGUUAAUCGGAAUUACUGGGCGUAAAGCGUGCGCAGGCGGUUUUGUAAGCCAGAUGUGAAAUCCCCGGGCUUAACCUGGGAACUGCAUUGGUGACUGGCAGGCUUUGAGUGUGGCAGAGGGAGGUAGAAUUCCACGUGUAGCAGUGAAAUGCGUAGAGAUGUGGAGGAAUACCGAUGGCGAAGGCAGCCUCCUGGGCCAACACUGACGCUCAUGCACGAAAGCGUGGGGAGCAAACAGG
This 254-nucleotide ribosomal RNA is filed under the name uncultured bacterium. RNAcentral describes it as "partial 16S ribosomal RNA". It matches the Rfam family "Bacterial small subunit ribosomal RNA", at positions 524 to 776 of the family's 1533-position model. The record is from RNAcentral.